UCGUUAGAGGUGUACCGGUUUUGCCCAUUGAGUGGCGCUGUUGUCAUCAGAAUUUGUGAAGCUCUUUGAAAGAUGUUGGGAUACUUCCCUGGUUUUAAUGUCUGGCUAUUUCUCUAUAGCGUUCAGCACUCAGCCUGACUCAAGGAAGAAGUUGUGUAACUAGAAAUCCCGGUGUGGUGAAAUCAUUAACGUCACGCCCGGUUUCCAGGAAAGUGCGUUCUUUACAGUAGUUCUGUUUAUCUGCAGAAGUUAAACUACCCAUUGGAUCUGUCAAACUGAAUGUUUCUAUUAUUUGUUUAAAAAUUCAAAGACAGACGUUGAGUUGGGGCUGAGUGUUAUUAUGAGAUGUUGCCUCUCAGUGCCUCCUUCGUGCAAAUCAAGUUUGAUGACAUCCGCUUCUACGAGAACUGCGGCGGCGGCAGCUUCGGGAGCGUGUACCGAGCCAGGUGGAUCUCUCAGGACAAAGAGGUGGCGGUGAAAAAGCUGCUCAAGAUCGAAAAUGAGGCUGAAAUCCUCAGUGUACUGAGCCAUCGGAACAUCAUUCAGUUCUAUGGGGCGAUCCUUGAAGCACCCAACUAUGGAAUUGUCACUGAUUAUGCCAGUGGAGGGUCCCUGUAUGACUACCUGUCCAGUGCAGAGAGUGAGGAGAUGGACCAGGAACAAGUCAUGACUUGGGCCAUGGAGAUUGCCAAAGGCAUGCACUAUUUACACUCAGAGGCCCCGGUCAAGGUUAUCCACAGAGACCUGAAGUCCAGGAAUGUGGUUGUGACGGCAGACAAAGUUCUUAAGAUCUGUGAUUUUGGGGCGUCCCGGUUCCACUCCCACACCACACACAUGUCCCUGGUAGGCACGUUCCCCUGGAUGGCCCCGGAGGUUAUCCAGAGCCUGCCAGUGUCUGAGACCUGUGACACCUAUUCCUACGGCGUGGUUCUGUGGGAGAUGCUCACCCGGGAGAUUCCCUUUAAAGGCUUGGAGGGUUUACAAGUCGCCUGGCUGGUGGUGGAGAAGAGUGAGAGGUUAACCAUUCCCAGUAGCUGCCCAGACAGUUUCGCUGAGCUGAUGAGGAAGUGCUGGGUGACUGAUCACAAGGAAAGACCAGUGUUCAAAAUUAUCCUUGCAACCUUGGAGUCCAUGUCCAAUGACAGCAAGCUUCCCGAGCAGUGCAACUCUUUCCUACACAACAAGGCAGAAUGGAGCUGUGAGAUCGAAGCCACACUCGAGAGACUGAAGAAGUUGGAGAGGGAUCUGAGCACCAAAGAGCAGGAACUGAAGGAGAGAGAACGUCGCCUGAAGAUGUGGGAGCGCAAGCUCAUCGAGCAGUCCAACACCCCGCUCCUUCCCAACCUUCAUAUUCAUUCCUGGACAGAGGAACAUGUGUACUUUUGGAUGCAGCAGAUAUUUGGGGCUGAAGAGGGGGCAUAUGGCAUGCAGCUGUAUGGUGACCUGUUUAAGGAAAACCACAUCACUGGCAAGAGGCUGCUGCUGCUCACGGAAACAGACAUGCGAGACCUGGGGGUCAGGUCCAAAGGUCACAUCAUGCACCUCAAGAGUGAAAUUGAGAAGCUAACCAAUGACUACAUUGGGCUCUUCCACUUCCCUCCACUAAUGAAGGAUGAGUGGGUAGAGGAGGAGGAGGAGGAGGAGAGGAGGAAGAUCGUUAAUCUGGAGCUGGUGUUUGGGCACCACUGGAAAGCUGGAACAGGUCACUCAGACUGCAAAUGGAAAAUGUACAUGGAACUUGACGGAGAUGAAGUUGCAAUAACGUACAUCAAGGAUGUGACCUUUGAUGCCAACAGACAAGAUGUGGAUGUCCUGAAGAUGACCAAGCCCCCAUUUGUGAUGGACAAAUGGGUAGUUGGACUACGGGACAAUCAGGUUGUUGACUGCAUUGUUAAUUAUGAGAAUGAUGUGAGAUCACCAAGGUCUACGAGAUAUAGCCAUGCAGUGAUGUGGAACCCCAUCGGUGGACGAGAUGAGAUCAAGACUGUGGAGCUGCUGAUAGAAACAACCCAGUUGAACAUAGAAGGGAACCCCAGAAGCAGAUCAGAUUCAAAAGAUGUGGAUCCCAGAUGGAUGUACAACCUGAGACAGAGGCAGCUGAAGAACCAGUCAGCAGCAGAGCAGCAUGGUGCCCGGACCCCCACCGGUGGCUCAGAGACCUGCACCCUGUCUCAGUUCCUGUCUGCGUAUGGAGACCAAGCCUCUUCCUACGCUGCAGCAGUGCGGAGGUCUCCCAACCGCAGCUCCCUCUCUCCCUGGUGCUCCCGCAGCUCAUCCCCCACCACCGGCCUGUCCACCAUGCUCUCCCCCCUCUACCUGGGGUCAAAGGGCAGCAGCCCCUCCAGCACCACCUCAGAGAGCGCAUUGGAGCGUGAACGCCCGCUCAGUGCUGGGGCAGUGCAAGGUUACCGCAGGCACAGCAGCUACUUUAAAAACUCAUUGACAGGGGGCCACAACAGAGGUGCAUGGUCCAAUACAAGGGGCAACUUCACACAGAAUAAGUCUAGCAGAACCUCACAGCAAACAGGGAGGCCUCGGUCCCAUAGUUACAGUGUAGUAGCUCAGAACCGCCCCAGGGUGAUACCGGGAAUAUCACCAGCGGUGGAAAACCCCAGUACAGAGCAAGAGGGGGCUAAAGUCAGUGAGGGGGGAUGGAUCAAAGUGGAGCGCCAGAAAAGGUUACCGCGACAGGACAAUAAACAGGUCAGAGGAAGACCGAGGAGAGGGAGUAGAGGUGGCUGUAGUGGUCGAAGCUGAGGAUCAUUCGCUGUUUGAAACUGUUUACAUGUCUGAAUAGACUGGACAGCAGGUUUACUUUGAACAUUAUCCUUCGCACUACUUCAAAAAUAUACAUUUUUAAACGUUCUCUCUUGAGGGAUCUUUUUAGGAGGCAUUUGAGCUAGGGAGAAUUGUGAUUUAGGGAAUGCACACAAUUCAGUCUUAGGGCUGAAUUCUGAAUUGUACUGUGUGCACUCAAAUAUCUUUUCUGUUUAACAUGUAAGGCUACAUAUCAUUUGUAGUUGUAUAUGUGAACUGUUUUAUAUAAGGCUAUUGUAAAUUGUAUUGACUACAUUGUUGUAAUAUUUCUAUUUAUGAGCGAUAAUUGUGCCUUUUAUUACAAUAUAGAAAAGUUAAUGUACGUAUUGAUGCUUAAAAAUAGAUGUUUUAUAUAGGUUUUAACUAUAUGUAGAGUAAAAAAAAAAAGAAAGAUAAACAUACAUGAAGACAAUACGAUUCUCUCAUUAUCCAAGGACGCGGGAGUUUUUCUAUAAACCCGCCCCUUUAUGCACAGUUCUACGCUAUGAUUUCGCGCCAGGUCGUAGUACUUGAAAGGACACUUUCCUGGCGCGGGAAGUUUCUCAGUCCCAUCUGCAAGUCUUUCUCUGCAUUCAUUAAAGGACUGCAGAAACGUC
This is a non-coding RNA of Salmo salar (Atlantic salmon), 3413 nucleotides long. Lineage: Eukaryota; Metazoa; Chordata; Actinopteri; Salmoniformes; Salmonidae. The record is from RefSeq and is a predicted model, not a curated record.